This 70-nucleotide transfer RNA is filed under the name Camelus bactrianus (Bactrian camel). It matches the Rfam family "tRNA". Rfam says of the family: Transfer RNA (tRNA) molecules are approximately 80 nucleotides in length. Their secondary structure includes four short double-helical elements and three loops (D, anti-codon, and T loops). RNAcentral also lists the same sequence under 2 other names. Lineage: Eukaryota; Metazoa; Chordata; Mammalia; Artiodactyla; Camelidae. The record is from Rfam by way of RNAcentral.
GGGUAUAGUUCAGUGGUAGAGCUCAUGCUUAGCAUGCUUGAGGUCCUGGGUUCUAUCCCUGGUAUACCUC